UCCAACGACUGCGCCACGUUGAAUACACCAGUUCUCGUGCGAUCACUGAAGUUAAGCGACGUCGGGCGUGGUCAGUACUCGGAUGGGUGACCGUCUGGGAGAUCACAUGUUGUUGGUU
This 118-nucleotide ribosomal RNA is filed under the name Olea europaea subsp. europaea. Lineage: Eukaryota; Viridiplantae; Streptophyta; Magnoliopsida; Lamiales; Oleaceae. The record is from RNAcentral.